Molecule: ribosomal RNA, 420 nt
Filed under: uncultured bacterium
Lineage: Bacteria
Description: bacterial SSU rRNA
Rfam family: Bacterial small subunit ribosomal RNA
Source: RNAcentral
UAGGGAAUAUUGGACAAUGGGUGCAAGCCUGAUCCAGCCAUGCCGCGUGCAGGAAGAAGGCUUUCUGAGUUGUAAACUGCUUUUGCCAGGGGAUAAAAAGCCCAUGCGUGGGAAAUUGAAGGUACCUGGUGAAUAAGCCACGGCUAACUACGUGCCAGCAGCCGCGGUAAUACGUAGGUGGCAAGCGUUGUCCGGAUUUAUUGGGUUUAAAGGGUGCGUAGGCGGUGACUUAAGUCAGUGGUGAAAUACGGCAGCUCAACUGUCGAGGUGCCGUUGAUACUGGGUCACUUGAGUACUGAUGAGGUAGGCGGAAUGGACGGUGUAGCGGUGAAAUGCUUAGAUAUCGUCCAGAACACCGAUAGCGAAGGCAGCUUACUAAGGAGUAACUGACGCUGAGGCACGAAAGUGUGGGGAUCAAAC